CCUACGGGAGGCAGCAGUGGGGAAUAUUGGGCAAUGGGCGCAAGCCUGACCCAGCAACGCCGCGUGAAGGAAGAAGGCUUUCGGGUUGUAAACUUCUUUUAUCCGGGACGAAGCAAGUGACGGUACCUGAUGAAUAAGCCACGGCUAAUUACGUGCCAGCGGCCGCGGUAAUACGUAGGUGGCAAGCGUUAUCCGGUUUUAGGGGUUUCAAAGGGUGUGUAGGCGGGAGUGCAAGUCGGAUGUGAAAACUAUGGGCUCAACCCAUAGCCUGCAUUUGAAACUGUACUUCUUGAGUGCUGGUGAGGCGAGCGGAAUUCGGGGUGUAGCGGUGAAAUGCGUAGAUAUACGGAAGAACACCAGUUGCGAAGGCGGAUUGCGGGUCAGUGACUGACGCUGAGGCGCGAAAGCGUGGGGAUCAAACAGGAUUAGAUACCCUUGUAGUC
This 443-nucleotide ribosomal RNA is filed under the name uncultured bacterium. RNAcentral describes it as "partial 16S ribosomal RNA". It matches the Rfam family "Bacterial small subunit ribosomal RNA", at positions 338 to 795 of the family's 1533-position model. The record is from RNAcentral.